This is a long non-coding RNA of Esox lucius (northern pike), 1103 nucleotides long. NCBI's taxonomy places the organism in Eukaryota, Metazoa, Chordata, Actinopteri, Esociformes, Esocidae. The record is from Ensembl.
GGAGACAGUACAACAGGGAGGUGGUUCCCAGGGGAGACAGUACAACAGGGAGGUGGUUCCUGGGGGAGACAGUACAACAACAGGGAGGUGGUUCCUGGGGGAGACAGUACAACAACAGGGAGGUGGUUCCUGGGGGAGACAGUACAACAGGGAGGUGGUUCCCAGGGGAGACAGUACAACAGGGAGGUGGUUCCUGGGGGAGACAGUACAACAGGGAGGUGGUUCCCAGGGGAGACAGUACAACAGGGAGGUGGUUCCUGGGGGAGACAGUACAACAACAGUAUGGAGAUGUUUCUACUCACUUCUCUAAGUCACUCCGGGUAAAAGUUUUGAUAAAUGAAUUUGAUGUAAACACUGAACUGUAAAUUAGUUAAUGGGAUUGUAACUGUAAGUUAGUUCAUGGGAUUUUUACCCCCAAAACUAUUGUUUAGUAUUUUUCCACUGAUAAUACAGUCUCAAAAAGUGAACAUGUCAACAGGGAUGUUUUCAGGAACGAGCACUAAAAAGUCACAUGUUGAUGCGAUUUGCAGUAUUUUUCCCCAGUUAACUGUUGAAUUAUUAUCUAAAAAGGCAAGUCUCCAACUAAAUGAGGUAACAAAGGACAAGUCCCAAAUGUAACCGUAUUACCCAUUGUGUCUGAAAUGUUGAUCUGACGUGUCUCUGGUCCAAAGUAGUGCACUUUAUAGGGAAUAAGGUGAGAGUUAGGACACAUGCAUUGGUUCAAGUGUGCUGUGUGUUACAUACGUUAGGACAGUGGCUCCCAACUACGCUCCUCAGGGACCCCCAAUAGUACACAUUUUCAUUGUAGCCCCAGCCAAGCACAGCUGAUUCAACUUGUCAACUAAUUAUCAGGCUCUCAUUGAGUUGAAUUGGGUGUGCUUGUCCAGGAAUACAACAAAAAUGUGUGCUGUUGGGGGUACUGGAGGACCGGAGUUGGGAGCCACUGCUUUAGGAGAUGCAUGACUGAAACAGAAACUAUAACCACGGUUUUCAUAGCCACAUGCAUUACUUGAGAAACAUAUUUUAUUGACCAAUUAAGUUGUAUCAUUUUAGAAUUAUAACUUUUUAUUAUUUCCGUUAUUAUUUUUGUUAUUAACAUGAUG